This 1170-nucleotide ribosomal RNA is filed under the name Kobus leche (lechwe). Its description in RNAcentral is "16S ribosomal RNA". It matches the Rfam family "Bacterial large subunit ribosomal RNA", at positions 163 to 2290 of the family's 2925-position model. The record is from RNAcentral. Lineage: Eukaryota; Metazoa; Chordata; Mammalia; Artiodactyla; Bovidae.
ACUAUACCUAGCCCGAACCCACUUUUUCCAUUAAGUAAUUAAACAUAAUAAAAUAAAACAUUUAUUCUCAUUUAAAGUAUAGGAGAUAGAAAUUUUAAAUACGGCGCUAUAGAGAAAGUACCGCAAGGGAAUGAUGAAAGAAAAAAAUUAAAGUACAAAAAAGCAAAGAUUACCUCUUGUACCUUUUGCAUAAUGAGCUAACUAGAAAAAAACUUAACAAAACGAAUUUUAGCUAAGUUACCCGAAACCAGACGAGCUACCUACAAACAGUUUAUUAGGAACCAACUCAUCUAUGUGGCAAAAUAGUGAGAAGAUUUAUAGGUAGAGGUGACACGCCUAACGAGCCUGGUGAUAGCUGGUUGUCCAGGAAAUGAAUCUUAGUUCAGCUUUAAAGAUACCAAAAAGUCCUCAAACAAACUCCACUGUAUCUUUAAAAGUUAGUCUAAAAGGGUACAGCCUUUUAGAAAUGGAUACAACCUUAACUAGAGAGUAAGAUUUAGCAACACCAUAGUAGGCCUAAGAGCAGCCAUCAAUUAAGAAAGCGUUAAAGCUCAACAAUUAAUGCUAUAAAGAUCCCAAUAGAAAUAACUAACUCCUAGUUCCAAUACUGGACUAUUCUAUUAUAAAAUAGAAGUAAUAAUGUUAACAUGAGUAACAAGAAAUAUUUUCUCCUUGCAUAAGUUUAAGUCAGUAUCUGAUAAUACUCUGACUAUUAACAGCAAAUAAAGUAAAUUCAACAAUAAACAGUUUAUUUAUUAUACUGUUAAUCCGACACAGGAAUGCGCUCAGGAAAGAUUAAAAGAAGUAAAAGGAACUCGGCAAACACAAACCCCGCCUGUUUACCAAAAACAUCACCUCCAGCAUUUCUAGUAUUGGAGGCACUGCCUGCCCAGUGACAAUCGUUAAACGGCCGCGGUAUCCUGACCGUGCAAAGGUAGCAUAAUCAUUUGUUCCCUAAAUAGGGACUUGUAUGAAUGGCCACACGAGGGUUUUACUGUCUCUUACUUCCAAUCAGUGAAAUUGACCUUCCCGUGAAGAGGCGGGAAUAAAUAAAUAAGACGAGAAGACCCUAUGGAGCUUUAACUAACUAGUCCAAAGAAAAUAAGCCUACCACCAAGGGACAACAAAAUUCUCCAUGGACUAACAGUUUUGGUUGGGGUGACCUCGGAG